UGGGGAAUCUUCCGCAAUGGACGAAAGUCUGACGGAGCAACGCCGCGUGUAUGAUGAAGGUCUUCGGAUUGUAAAGUACUGUCAUUGGGGAAGAACGGUUUUCUUGAAAAGAUUGAGAAGACAUGACGGUACCCAAGGAGGAAGCCCCGGCUAACUACGUGCCAGCAGCCGCGGUAAUACGUAGGGGGCAAGCGUUGUCCGGAAUUAUUGGGCGUAAAGGGCGCGUAGGCGGGCCUUUAAGUCCGGUGUGAAAGAUCAGGGCUCAACCCUGAGAGUGCAUCGGAAACUGGAGGCCUUGAGGACAGGAGAGGAAAGUGGAAUUCCACGUGUAGCGGUGAAAUGCGUAGAUAUGUGGAGGAACACCAGUGGCGAAGGCGACUUUCUGGACUGUAACUGACGCUGAGGCGCGAAAGCGUGGGGAGCAAACAGGAUUAGAUACCCUGGUAGUCCACGCCGUAAACGAUGAGUGCUAGGUGUAGAGGGUAUCGACCCCUUCUGUGCCGCAGUUAACACAAUAAGUACUCCGCCUGGGAAGUACGAUCGCAAGAUUAAAAACUCAAAUGAAUUGACGGGGUCAUAGCUGUUUUCCU
RNAcentral lists this ribosomal RNA (590 nucleotides) under uncultured bacterium. RNAcentral describes it as "partial 16S ribosomal RNA". It matches the Rfam family "Bacterial small subunit ribosomal RNA", at positions 355 to 1375 of the family's 1533-position model. The record is from RNAcentral.